RNAcentral lists this transfer RNA (72 nucleotides) under Marmota monax (woodchuck). RNAcentral's name for it is "tRNA.Ala". Lineage: Eukaryota; Metazoa; Chordata; Mammalia; Rodentia; Sciuridae. The record is from RNAcentral.
GGGGUUGUGGCUCAGUGGUAGAGUGGCUCACCUAGCAUGUGUGAGGCCCUGGGUUUGAUCCUCAGCACCACA